CGUGGUUCGCUCGCGACCUCCCUCCUACCCGCAACACCACCAAGCACCAACUCGCUCCCACUUCAGCUCACUUGCGGUACGGUCCGGCAAGACGGCAACUGACCCGAGCCCGUGCGUAUUACUGCGUAUUCGAACGCUACGUAUAAGUCAUAUUUCUUUUGUGGGUGUGCCGUACCAUGAAUGACAGUCUCUAGUGACAUUUUUAAAGUAUAGACUAGCGAUUGCUGUGAUGCCAGAAAUAUUGACAAGUGAUUGCUGUGAUACCGUGAGUUGGGGAGCGCGUGUCAUUCCUGAAGGGAGUAGUUCUGGAUCUCAAAGGCAUCGUCUCCGGUGAAAAGUUUCACUGAGGCAUCCAACAGACUACCUGGCCCAGAUUACUUCCGCUGUCGUACGAGAAGAGUCCCUCUUCACAGUUUUGCAUUAAGGACACUCACGGGGCGUGGUUUCCAUUUAUUCAACUUGCAACGGUCCCAUUUGGCCUUCGUCACCGGCUUUGCCAAGCAAGAAACUAAAGUUCAACUGUAUCCAGCAUUCCUAU
This is a long non-coding RNA of Macrobrachium nipponense, 538 nucleotides long. RefSeq lists it as uncharacterized. The transcript has 3 exons. Lineage: Eukaryota; Metazoa; Arthropoda; Malacostraca; Decapoda; Palaemonidae. The record is from RefSeq and is a predicted model, not a curated record.